GGCCCGCACAAGCAGCGGAGCGUGUGGUUUAAUUCGAUGCUACACGAAGAACGUUACCUGGGUUUGACAUGUAGGUAGUAGUGAAGCGAAAGCGGAACGACCCUUCGGGGAGCCUACACAGGUGCUGCAUGGCUGUCGUCAGCUCGUGCCGUGAGGUGUCGGGUUAAGUCCCGUAACGAGCGCAACGCCUGUCAUGAGUUACAAGUGUCUAAGGAGACUGCCGGCGACAAGCCGGAGGAAGGUGGGGAUGACGUCAAGUCAGCAUGGCCUUUAUGUCCAGGGCUACACACACGCUACAAUGGCCGGUACAAUGGGUUGCCAAGCCGUGAGGCGGAGCUAAUCCCCCAAAGCCGGUCUCAGUUCGGAUUGUGGGCUGCAACUCGCCCACAUGAAGUUGGAGUUGCUAGUAACCGCAGGUCAGCUAUACUGCGGUGAUACGUUCCCGGGCCUGUACACACCGCCCGUCACGUCAUGGAAGUCAGUACACCUGAAGCCGGUGGGUANCCCGCAAGGGGGCAACCGUCGAAGGUGG
This 532-nucleotide ribosomal RNA is filed under the name uncultured organism. Its description in RNAcentral is "bacterial SSU rRNA". It matches the Rfam family "Bacterial small subunit ribosomal RNA", at positions 918 to 1465 of the family's 1533-position model. The record is from RNAcentral.